Manduca sexta (tobacco hornworm) is the source of this 970-nucleotide long non-coding RNA. RefSeq lists it as uncharacterized. The record is from RefSeq and is a predicted model, not a curated record. The transcript is spliced from 2 exons. Lineage: Eukaryota; Metazoa; Arthropoda; Insecta; Lepidoptera; Sphingidae.
CGCCGUAAAUCUAUGGAUGCAAUUGUGUCACUCCAAGAUUGUUUACUAUUUUGAGAAAUAUUAAAAGUUGUUGUGAUUAUAAAGUACAAUAUGUCCAUUUUAUUAAUAGACUGUUAUCAGUGAACUGUUAUAUAAGUGCUACUUCUUGGGAUAUGUUAAAGUUUAGGGCCUUGUUAUCGUUUCAUUUGUGAACGUGUUUACGUGAGUGUUUUAAAAUGUUUCGUGUGGAUGAAGUGAUAUUUUUUGUGUACAAUAGUGGAAUAAAAUAGUGUCAGUUCUGCUGAAUAUUCAUGUGUUUUAGGAGCGUUGAGCAGCAAUAUAAAGGGCGAACUUCACUUCAUACAAACAAAGAGUGGGCAUUUGCAACUGAUAUAUGAACCAUAUAUUUUUGUGACGGACAGCGUGCGCAGCGGCCGCACGUUCUGGAGGUGCAUGGAGUAUGGCAAGCGGUGUCGCGCCCGGAUCACUUCGAAAAACAAUGUGCUUCGGAUAACGAACCCGGUGCACAACCACCUCGAGAACCACAUGGCAAAAAUAACACGCAAAUAUGAACUGGGCGAAGUGGUCACUUGUCCCACAGUUUAGGAUAACAUUUUUGUAUUAUGGUAAAGCAAUAAGACAUUUUGUCAAAACUUUUGUGUGGUUAGUGCAUGUUGUGGCCUAAUAAUUGUUUAGAUCAGCCACCAAGUUUGACUUGAGUUUUUAUUUUGCGUUUGUCUUUAAGUCUUAUCUUUUUGUAAAAUUACUCUAUUGUAAUUAUUCUUUUGUGUGUAAUUAAACGGUAAUUUCAAACUGAAACAUCAUUUCUCCAAGAUAUUUUGUCAAUAUCUCCGAUUCUAGUGAUGUUGAUGAACUGUUUAUAAUGUAAUUUUAAUUAAAAUCAUCAAUCGUCUAGUUUUGAAAUCUAAACCAUUGUGAUCAGUAAUAUUAAGUUAAUAAAUUGUAAAGUUCAAUAAAGGUUUCGAUUGGA